This 552-nucleotide ribosomal RNA is filed under the name uncultured bacterium. RNAcentral's name for it is "partial 16S ribosomal RNA". It matches the Rfam family "Bacterial small subunit ribosomal RNA", at positions 355 to 902 of the family's 1533-position model. The record is from RNAcentral.
UGGGGAAUUUUGGACAAUGGGCGAAAGCCUGAUCCAGCAAUGCCGCGUGUGUGAAGAAGGCCUUCGGGUUGUAAAGCACUUUUGUCCGGAAAGAAAUCCUUGGCUCUAAUACAGUCGGGGGAUGACGGUACCGGAAGAAUAAGCACCGGCUAACUACGUGCCAGCAGCCGCGGUAAUACGUAGGGUGCAAGCGUUAAUCGGAAUUACUGGGCGUAAAGCGUGCGCAGGCGGUUUGCUAAGACCGAUGUGAAAUCCCCGGGCUCAACCUGGGAACUGCAUUGGUGACUGGCAGGCUAGAGUAUGGCAGAGGGGGGUAGAAUUCCACGUGUAGCAGUGAAAUGCGUAGAGAUGUGGAGGAAUACCGAUGGCGAAGGCAGCCCCCUGGGCCAAUACUGACGCUCAUGCACGAAAGCGUGGGGAGCAAACAGGAUUAGAUACCCUGGUAGUCCACGCCCUAAACGAUGUCAACUAGUUGUGGGGAUUCAUUCCUUAGUAACGUAGCUAACGCGUGAAGUUGACCGCCUGGGGAGUACGGUCGCAAGAUUAAAACUU